Molecule: long non-coding RNA, 486 nt
Organism: Anolis carolinensis (green anole)
Lineage: Eukaryota; Metazoa; Chordata; Lepidosauria; Squamata; Anolidae
Exons: 3
Source: RefSeq, a predicted model, not a curated record
UCAAGUCCUAUUAUAUACAAUAGCCUAGUAAAAUAGUGUAUCUUGUCAGAAAUACUAAAAAUUUACUAGGUAUUUUAAAUUACAAAAAUGUGAGUUACUCAAAGGGUUAAAUGGAUGCAAUGACUCAGCAAAAGCUGCAAUUCAAUAUAAGCAGGUGUGCCUGUAGCUUAGUAGUCCUCAGUUUGAGGUAAGCCUCAGUGUGUGAGAAGGUCUCAGUGUGAGAAGCUUUGGUGAGAGAAGCCCCAGAUUGAAGGCCUCAGAGAUUAUGAGAACAUACUUACACCUUCUCCAGCGUCAGUAAAACGCUUUCUUCCAAGAAACAUCUAUUGAGGACAAACCUUUGACACCAGACUCUGAAGGACUGCAACAAAUAAAGAGGCUGAAGGAUGCUGGGCAAGAUCCAAUGGGAACCAGUAGAAGCUACCUGGUCGAUGAAAAGAGAUCUCCUGUGAGUGGGGGCAUAUCUACAGUAAGCAUUUAGGUUGG